This is an RNA transcript of Astyanax mexicanus (Mexican tetra), 4388 nucleotides long. It is a transcript of the gene named P2Y purinoceptor 13, with no coding region annotated. The transcript is spliced from 3 exons. The record is from RefSeq and is a predicted model, not a curated record. Lineage: Eukaryota; Metazoa; Chordata; Actinopteri; Characiformes; Acestrorhamphidae.
AGCAGCAGCAGCACUCAGUACUGCAGGAACUUCGACUGGUACGGCUGCAUCCUCAAAGACAUGAUGGUGUCUCAAAAUUCGACAACCAACUGUGGCAUCAAUGACCGCGCCAGAGCCAUCUCCAUCUCCACUCUGUACUUCUUACUCUUUCCACCUGCCCUUCUGCUCAACGUGCUGGUGGCUUGGAUCUCCACCCGACUGAAGGCCAAAACCACCUUCAUGGUGUACCUGAAGCACCUGGUGGCGGCCGACCUACUGAUGACCCUUACUUUCCCAAUCCGGGCCGCCAACGAAUUGCCUGGCGCCUCGGACGAGCUGCAAGCCUUCGCCUGCCGUUUCGGCCACGUCUUCUUCUACCUGGCCAUGAACAUGAGCAUCAUCCUGAUGGGUCUCAUCAGCAUGGAUCGCUUCUUCAAGAUCGUGCAGCCCGGUGGGUUGCUCCUGUGCCGCAGCAUUUGUCUCAGCAAUGUCCUGGCUAUCUCCAGCUGGCUGCUGGUGAUCGGCUCCAACACCCUGCCCGUCAUCAUCACGACGAACCAAGACCAUCGGAACAGUUCCCAUAAAGAGUUCUGCAUGCGCAUGAAAAGUGAAAUAGGACUUUGCUGGCACAAAGUGGUCAUCAUGUUUGCUAAAGUCCUGUUCUGGACAGUGUGCAUUGUGGUCAUGCUGUGCUACAUCUGCAUCACCAAGAAGGUCAUGGAAUCGUACCGGAGGUCCCGCAGCAACAACGAUCAGACGAAUCGCUCAGCGAAGUUUCGGGUUUUUCUCAUCCUGUUGGUUUUCCUGAUCUGCUACGUGCCUUACCAUGCUGUGCGGUUACCUUAUACCAACUAUCAAGUCAUGGAAAAGGACAACUGCAUCAGGCCUAUACUAAAGGUCGUCAAGGAUGUAACUUUGUGGCUGUCGGCGACCAACGUGUGCCUGGACCCUCUGAUCUAUUUUUUCCUGUGCAAGUCAUUCCGGAACAGGUUUUUGGAGAUUUGUCAGCGGAGCAGCAUUUUUAAGUCCUUUGGAAAGAGUGCAGAACCAUAUCAGUCCUCAGACACUUCACUGUAAACCUCUAUCUAUCUAUCUAUCUAUCUAUCUAUCUAUCUAUCUACAGGGGUUGGACAAUGAAACUGAAACACCUGUCAUUUUAGUGUGGGAGGUUUCAUGGCCAAAUUGGAGCAGCCUGGUGGCCAGUCUUCAUUAAUUGUACAUUGCACCAGUAAUAGCAGAGUGUGAAGGUUCAAUUAGCAGGGUAACAAUUAGCAGCACAGUUUUGCCCAAAAUAUUGCAAUGCACACAACAUUAUGAGUGACAUACCAGAGUACAAAAGAGGACAAAUUGUUGGUGCACGUCUUGCUGGAGCAUCUGUGACCAAGACAGCAAGUCUUUGUGAUGAAUCAAGAGCCACGGUAUCCAGGGUAAUGACAGCAUACCACCAAGAAGGACCAACCACAUCCAACAGGAUUAACUGUGGACGCUGUAAGAGGAAGCUGUCUGAAAGGGAUGUUCGGGUGCUAACCCGGAUUGUAUCCAAAAAAACACAAAACGGCUACCCAAAUAAUACAAUAAUGGGGGAGAAUCAAGAUGGGCUAUUCAACAAAAGUUUGUACCUUUUAUCAUGUUUUACUACAACCUAAGUCCAUUUCACCCUGGAUGUCUCAACAAAUAAUGACCAGACCAAGACAUUUUAUUUUAAUGAAUGAGUUCAUUGUUUUGGGUUCAUUUACAGUAUCUUCAGUCACGCUAAAAUUUUGUAUUUUCAAAGCUUUACAGCAGAGAAAAAAAUGAAUACAUAUACACACAGAAAACAUACACACAGUACUGUAUAUAAUCUAUAUGACCUAUAAUAAUGUACCAUUGCAGCAAACGAGUAUUAUAGGAUGAAUUUUUAUAGGAGGCAAGCGAUGGAAAAAAGGGUGGAACAGGUUAAUGCUGCUCAAAUGGAGACUCUUUUUUUUUCAUGUUGAAAAAAUGGGCUACUUCAGCACUUUGCCACAUUACUCAUGGCUCUUUUGAUAAUUGCUCAUCACCAGAUGUGCUGCUGACAUUUUGAGCAGCGUGCUGACUGUAGAGCAGACCGCUUUGUGCUCUUUAUUCGUCCUCCUCUCUGCACUUUCCUUCUCGUCCACUCUAUCUUCACUCAGUCGGGUCUCUUUUUGCGGCCAUUAAUAUACCAGGAUAUUAGAUAUGUUUCAUGAAGCGUCCCUCUGUAUGUAAUGUAUAUGUACAGUGAGCAGCUCUGGAAAAAUUAAGAGACCACUUCAGUUUCUGAAUCAGUUUCUCUGAUUUUGCUAUUUAUAGUUAUAUGUUCGACAACAUAUCUCCCAAAUUCCAAAUAAAAAUAUUGUCAUUUAGCGCAUUUAUUAGACCUCAAAUAAUACAAAAAGAAAACAAGUUCAUUUUCAUAAAUUUUUGAGAGUUUAGAAAUCAAUAUUUGGUGCAAUAACCCUGUUUUUUAAUCACAGUUUUCAUACAUAUUGGCAUGUUCUCCUCCACCAGUCUUACACACUACUUUUGGAUAACUUUAUUCCACUCCUGGUGCAAAAAUUCAAGCAGUUUAUCUUGAUUUAAUGGCUUGUGAGGUUUUCAAUUUGGUAAAAUCAAAGAAAAUAAUCAUUUUUAAGUGGUCUCUUAUUUUUUGUUUUUAGAGCUGUAUAUAUGUUCAUACAUACAUACAUACACACAUAUAUGGCUCACAGAAGCACUAAUGAUGUGUGUGUAGGAGAGGAAGAGGGAGAAAAAAAGAGUGAAAAGAACAGCAAAAAUGUAUAAGACAGUUGGACUUGGUUAUUUAUGAGAUUUAAUCCAUAUUUCAAUGUAAAUAAUGGUAAAUACCUUCUAAACUAAAUAGAAAAAAACUGCCAAAAAUAGUAAAAAAAAAAAAAAAGUAAAAAAAAAAAGUAUGGCAGGAAGUUGGGGCCAAAUUUUGCAAUAUGAUUAAUUUGUGUUAAUUAAUAAAAAAAUGAAUGCAGUUCACAAAUAAUCUCAUGCAUUAACAGGGUAACAGAGGCAGCACUGGUAUAUACUGUAUUUAUAAACAUGGACAUGGCCAGAAAGACCCUUACUCCAUCAUUGAAGGGGUCUUUUAUGUUAAGUUAUGUUCCUGUGUCUAUGCGAAUGUGUGUGUGCGCGAGUGUGUGUGCGCACAUGGUGGGUGAGUGUGAAAGGGAAAUGUCAAGAGCCUUUGCUGUAGGGCUGCAUAAACUGGAUAUUUAAAUAGCGUUCAAAACUUUGCAUAGAAAAAAUAGAUUACCAUAAUUGACAGGUCACUGUUGCCUGACCUCCUCAUCACAUCCCACUAAUUUAAAGGACCCUUUGGUCAUUUGCAUACAUGAAAGUCUUUUGUUGAUGAUUUUUUUUUUGUUCACUGUCCAACCGCGUCCGCUUCUUCACAACGCUCUGUCUACCUUACGGCUUAGAGCUUUGAAUUUGGCCCGGGCCUUAGCGUUGCUGAUGAGGUAUUAUUCCGACAGGGCUUUCCGCAUUCAGGUGGAGAAAUAUGCCCCCGCAGGUCCGUGGAAAUGUUUCUCAUGGUUAUGGAACGAUGCCCUCAGUAGACUGUGUUAUAGCCAAGCAUGUAGCGCAACAUGAGUUCCAUGAAAAAUUCAUAGUGUUGGGGUUUAGGGCGCUUAAAAUCUCCCCCACAAACUUAUUCCCCUUAGAGAGACGUCCACCUGUGUUAAGAUCUAAAGUGCUGCUGUGCCGUGCUGUGCCGCGCCGUGCUGUACAGCCGCCCGGUUCCGACCCGGCCCACUGUGGCCUGUGAAUGUUUUAACUGAUUUGCAUAAGGCUGCGUAAUGAAUAUUUACCACGGUAAAACUUAACCUUCACCGCAAGUGACUUUUUAUUUUGUGCAGUAUGAACUUCUUUUCUUCCCUUUCCUUCUUUGCUAGUUUUUCUGUUUUCUUUUUUCCUGUUUAUCUGAUUUUUUGAGUACCAGAUUUGUAACAUAUUUUGCUCAGAAGUCACAAACAACAGAGAUUUUGUUUUUAAUAUGAUUUAAAGCACAUCAUCCACAUAGGAGGAAUGGACAGAAAUGGAUGUAUCUAAAGAUCAGAGGCCAUUCAGUAGCCUAUCAGAGCCCCUAACCUGUCUCAGAAAGACUGGAAUUUUCCUUGGUGGCAACUGGAUUGGAUCUGGAUUUGGAUCUGGAUCUGGCAACAUCAUUUUUAUUGCAUGGCGGUCAUCCUGUACACAAGGUUUUUGUCCUUCCAGGCUGUUGCUUGCAAGAAAGGUGCAAACCACAAAUGCAUGGGCGGUUUGUCUGGGGGGCUUGGCAAAAAAAAACAAGUAAUUAUGGUCAAAGCAAUUUAAAAUAACAGUCUCCUUAUACAUAAAUAAAAUGGUAAAACAAAAAAAAAAAUGUCUUUUGGACCCCUUUUUUGUUAACUCCCCCAUAA